This 292-nucleotide ribosomal RNA is filed under the name uncultured bacterium. RNAcentral's name for it is "partial 16S ribosomal RNA". The record is from RNAcentral.
GGACUACUGGGGUUUCUAAUCCCGUUCGCUCCCCUAGCUUUCGCACCUCAGCGUCAGAUACGAGCCAGGACACUGCCUUCGCUAUUGGUGUUCUUCCGGAUCUCUACGCAUUUCACCGCUCCACCCGGAGUUCCAUGUCCCUCUCUCGCUCUCAAGUCCGCCAGUUUUCGAAAUCGUUCACCGGUUAAGCCGGUGAUUGUCACCUCGAACUUAGCGAACCGCCUGCGUGCGCUUUACGCCCAAUAAUUCCGGACAACGCUUGCCCCCUACGUAUUACCGCGGCGGCUGGCAC